AGAUUGAACGCUAGCGGGACGCUUUACACAUGCAAGUCGAACGGCAGCGCGGACUUCGGUCUGGCGGCGAGUGGCGAACGGGUGAGUAAUAUAUCGGAACGUGCCCAGUAGCGGGGGAUAACUACGCGAAAGCGUGGCUAAUACCGCAUACGCCCUACGGGGGAAAGGGGGGAUCGCAAGACCUCUCACUAUUGGAGCGGCCGAUAUCAGAUUAGCUAGUUGGUGAGGUAAAGGCUCACCAAGGCGACGAUCUGUAGCUGGUUUGAGUGGACGACCAGCCACACUGGGACUGAGACACGGCCCAGACUCCUACGGGAGCAGCAGUGGGGAAUUUGGACAAGUGGGGG
This 347-nucleotide ribosomal RNA is filed under the name uncultured soil bacterium. Its description in RNAcentral is "bacterial SSU rRNA". It matches the Rfam family "Bacterial small subunit ribosomal RNA", at positions 26 to 377 of the family's 1533-position model. The record is from RNAcentral.